CACGUAGUUAGCCGGGGCUUCUUAGUCAGGUACCGUCAUUAUCUUCCCUGCUGAUAGAGCUCUACAUACCGAAAUACUUCUUCACUCACGCGGCGUCGCUGCAUCAGGGUUUCCCCCAUUGUGCAAUAUUCCCCACUGCUGCCUCCCGUAGGAGUCUGGGCCGUGUCUCAGUCCCAAUGUGGCCGUUCACUCUCUCAAGCCGGCUACUGAUCGUCGCCUUGGUAGGCCGUUACCCCACCAACAAGCUAAUCAGACGCGGGUCCAUCUCACAGCGAUAAAUCUUUGAAAGGAUCGUCAUGCGGCAAUCCCUUGUUAUGCGGUAUUAGCAGCCGUUUCCGGCUGUUGUCCCCCUCUGUGAGGCAGGUUACCCACGCGUUACUCACCCGUCCGCCACUCAGUCAUUACCAUCUUCCCUCCGAAAAGUUCCGUCGGUAGCGCUUCGUUCGACUUGCAUGUGUUAAGCACGCCGCCAGCGUUCAUCCUGAGCCAGGA
This 492-nucleotide ribosomal RNA is filed under the name uncultured Lachnospiraceae bacterium. RNAcentral describes it as "partial 16S ribosomal RNA". The record is from RNAcentral. Lineage: Bacteria; Bacillati; Bacillota; Clostridia; Lachnospirales; Lachnospiraceae.